UACGGGAGGCAGCAGUGGGGAAUAUUGGCACAAUGGGCGAAAGCCUGAUGCAGCUAUGCCGCGUGUAUGAAGAAGGCCUUAGGGUUGUAAAGUACUUUCAUCGGGGAGGAAAAAACAAAACUAAUAAUUUUAUUUCUUGACGUUACCCGAAAAAGAAGCACCGGCUAACUCCGUGCCAGCAGCCGCGGUAAUACGGAGGGUGCUAGCGUUAAUCAGAAUUACUGGGCGUAAAGAGCACGUAGGUGGUUUUUUUAAGUCAGAUGUGAAAUCCCUGGGCUUAACCUAGGAACUGCAUUUUGAAACUGAAAUACUAGAGUAUCGUAGAGGGAGGUAGAAUUCUAGGUGUAGCGGUGAAAUGCGUAGAUAUCUGGAGGAAUACCUGUGGCGAAAGCGGCCUCCUAAACGAAUACUGACACUGAGGUGCGAAAGCGUGGGGAGCAAACAGGGAUUAGAUACC
This 457-nucleotide ribosomal RNA is filed under the name uncultured bacterium. Its description in RNAcentral is "bacterial SSU rRNA". It matches the Rfam family "Bacterial small subunit ribosomal RNA", at positions 340 to 786 of the family's 1533-position model. The record is from RNAcentral.